Molecule: long non-coding RNA, 2453 nt
Filed under: Limulus polyphemus (Atlantic horseshoe crab)
Lineage: Eukaryota; Metazoa; Arthropoda; Merostomata; Xiphosura; Limulidae
Description: uncharacterized LOC106476767, transcript variant X3
Source: RNAcentral
UGAUGCUUCAGGAUCUAUGUUCAAUACAGUUAUAAUAAUUAAUAUGUACUAUUUUAUUGUAAAUUAAGUACAUAAAUUUUAUAAAAUCAGAUAGUGAGUGACAUUUUGUCUUCUGGUUGUGCGGAAGCUUACGGAAGUGUGUAGGCGAUCCUGAAAGUACUUUUUCACUCUGAGAGUACACCUAAACGUUCGUUUCCUAAAAAGGUGUUAUUAAUAAUAUUAACUGGUGCAUGGGUAGGUAUUACAUCCUGAGUGCUAUAAAAGAUUCUUUGUAGGCUGUUCUUUUAAUCAUGAAUCUCAUCCAAAAACAAGUAUGUUUCUUGGUGGUGGUGUUCUUGUCUGCUAUUGUCUAUAGCCAAGCUCCAGAAAAGCUAACAUCAAGUCAGUGUGUAUCAAAAAAACGUGUGGUGAGUGUAUUACAGCUCACCCUGAUUGUGCCUGGUGUUCUGAUGAGAAAUUUGACAGUAAUGGAAGCCGGCGAUGUGACACGAUCGGUAAUUUGAUUGGCAGCUGUCCUCGUAAGGAAAUUGUUCACCCAAACAGCAAGAUGGAAAAAGUAGUGGAUAAACAGUUAAGUGACACGGGAGCCAGGGAAGAAAAUGCUGUCCAAAUUAAACCUCAGAGAAUUAAGUUGAAGCUUAAACCGAAUGGAUCUAGAAGAAACCCCGUGUGGUUAAAGUGUGAAUCUUUAACUGAGAACGUCCUGUGAAAAUACCUUUAACGUGGCUUAAGUUACAGUUUUAUAGAGAAGUUUUUCUUUGAAUUCUAGCUCCUUGUAACUAAAAACUAAAAUAUUAUUAACCACAAACAUGCUUUCUUCUUAUCUUCGAUUUCUUCAGUGCAAAAAAACAUAGUUUAAAUACUUUUUUUAUUCGUUUAAGAAUCCUUAAUUCACAGAAUGUCUUAAAUGAACGUCACUUUGUGCUUAUUUUAAUUGUUACCAUUUUAAACCCGUAUCCUGUAACAUUCAUGUGUGAAAAGAUAUGUGAAGGACCUUUAACACCCGUGACACUUCACAUUUAAUGUUAUCAGUUUCCCCUUAUGUAAUUGAAGAACAAUCAUUAUAUGUAGGAAACUAAAUGAAACCUCUUGUAAUUAUACAAAUUGUUUUCCCAGUAAGUCUUGAAUUUUUGUAGGUUUAUAAUGUAACUUUCAUUUAUUUACUUUUCAAAUAUAUUUACAACCUUCUUACUAAGUCCUAUAUAAGAACAUAAGUAUUUUUUUUCCUACGUUCCGUCCCUGUUUUCAUUCCCACUUUUAUGUACCUGGUCAACAGUCUUUUCAAUAACCAGUCAGUUAAUUCAGUACUUUAGUAAAAACUAAAUAUCUUCAUCAAGAUCACAGAUGAUGCAUGAAGAGUCCUGUAAAGAAUACUCUAAAGGUUCCUAAUUCCUUCACUAACAGAAUACCAUUUAUAUUUCUAUAAAUAAACUAGUUACAAAGCCUUGUUUAUUUUUUGACACAAGUUUAGACUUGAACUUGAAAAUUAUUUUUUGCUUUGCGUAUAAAUUGAACUAUUUGAUGAUGGGAAUUUAAAAGCAUUUCUUCUGUACGAGUGAAAUCUACAAACGACGUAUACGUACCUCUGUCCGUAUCUGGUGGAAGCAAAGGUACAUCAUUGGCCAUUGUUUCAGUGGAGCUCGUAUACACGUUGGAGACCACCAAAGGAAGGAAACUUCUCUUCGUGUGUAAUCCACUCCUUACUGCUUGAAACGUCCCAUUAUGUUCAAUACCACGUUUAAGCCUUAACUGAAAUGGUUAACUAGUUGUUCCGUUAAAGUGUUGUAGCUCUUCUUUUGUUGUCUUCGAUAAUAAUUUUAACAACAUGAAAAAGAAAAUGUUGUAUUAUAGUUUACUUAGCUCUGUUCAUCAACUGAUUUUGUAACCCACUGCUGAUGAUUUAUCACAUGUUGCUAAGAUUAAUAUUUUUAUGAACACAACUUAGCUGAUUACAUUUGGAUUUUGAGGAUGAAGGAAAAUUACUUGUGUGGAACGUAAAUCUAGUUGUUCUGGUUGUGAGGCUGUAGAAAUUAUACACCCUACCUAUAUAUAACCUGAAAAAGACAAAUAUAAAUCCAGUCAUUAUUGAAUGUACUGAUAAUAUAUCUUUCUUACAUAAUUGUUAUCUUAUCUUUGUAGGUUACAUAUAAUGGAGUGCCUACUUCAUUUUAAGUAUGUCUGUAAACUGUGCCUACAAUACAAACAAAUUCGUGAAGAAAGGAACUGUAAAGUGGCUUCUUGAUGAGAAUAUCUACAGUGUAAAUAAUACUGUAGUUGUGUUAUAUAACUCGCCUGACUUGCAGAUAGUAAAACGAUAUUAAGUAUACUGUUUUGUGUGAGGAUUUUAUGAUUAAUUGGUCAUAUUUUUGGGUCUGUUAUAUUUUUAACACUCAUAAUGUGGAAGAAAUUUUUAAAGAACUUGAAACAUCGUAUUUAUGCAAAAAUGUUGGAGA